AUGUACAAUGGGCACUUAACCAAAAGGAAUUUUCAUGAUCUUUGCACGAUGUUGCGUAUGAAGUGUGGUCUGGAAGAUAGCGUAUAUGUCACUGUAGAAGAAAAGGUUGCUAUGUUCUUGUUGGUGGCUGGACAUGGUAUUAAAAUGAGAGUGUUGCGUGGCACUUACAAGCGUUCUUUAGAGACUAUCAGUAGGCACUUCUCGAAUGUGUUGACAGCCAUUCUUUCCCUAACCGGGAAGUUUAUCAAGCUUCCUGAUCCUUCUAUUGAACCUCCGGAUGAUUACAAAUGGAAGUGGUUUGGAAAUGCCUUGGGAGCACUAGAUGGGUGUCAUGUUGAUGUUUCUGUCGUUGCGGCUGACGAAGGGAGGUCAGGAACAGAAAGCAAGAUAUCACCACUAACAUGCUAG
This 408-nucleotide ribosomal RNA is filed under the name Triticum aestivum (bread wheat). RNAcentral describes it as "partial small subunit ribosomal RNA". Lineage: Eukaryota; Viridiplantae; Streptophyta; Magnoliopsida; Poales; Poaceae. The record is from RNAcentral.